AUCUUCUUCCGCAACUGACGGAAUCAAGGUGGGCGGACCACCGGGGAGCGGAAGAUCAUAUAUCAGUGUCGACCGUCUGGGCAAUGCAC
RNAcentral lists this non-coding RNA (89 nucleotides) under Deltaproteobacteria bacterium. RNAcentral describes it as "ZTP sequence". It matches the Rfam family "ZMP/ZTP riboswitch aptamer (pfl RNA motif)". Rfam says of the family: Previously known as pfl RNA. ZMP is also known as AICAR. The record is from RNAcentral. Lineage: Bacteria; Pseudomonadati; Myxococcota; Myxococcia.